Molecule: ribosomal RNA, 471 nt
Filed under: uncultured organism
Description: partial 16S ribosomal RNA
Rfam family: Bacterial small subunit ribosomal RNA
Source: RNAcentral
ACUCCUGCGGGAGGCAGCAGUGGGGAAUUUUGGACAAUGGGCGAAAGCCUGAUCCAGCAAUGCCGCGUGUGUGAAGAAGGCCUUCGGGUUGUAAAGCACUUUUGUCCGGAAAGAAAUCCUUGGCUCUAAUACAGUCGGGGGAUGACGGUACCGGAAGAAUAAGCACCGGCUAACUACGUGCCAGCAGCCGCGGUAAUACGUAGGGUGCGAGCGUUAAUCGGAAUUACUGGGCGUAAAGCGUGCGCAGGCGGUUUGCUAAGACCGAUGUGAAAUCCCCGGGCUCAACCUGGGAACUGCAUUGGUGACUGGCAGGCUAGAGUAUGGCAGAGGGGGGUAGAAUUCCACGUGUAGCAGUGAAAUGCGUAGAGAUGUGGAGGAAUACCGAUGGCGAAGGCAGCCCCCUGGGCCAAUACUGACGCUCAUGCACGAAAGCGUGGGGAGCAAACAGGAUUAGAAACCCGAGUAGUCCCA